AUGCUGGCGAUGAGGAGGAGCUGCAGGACGGCCCUCGUCGCAGCGGUGGUGGUGGUGGCCCUGGCGAUGGCGCCGCCGGGUGUGUGCGAGAAGAAGGGGCCGCUGGUGACGGCGGUGAUCGUGUUCGGCGACUCCAUCAUGGACCCCGGCAACAACAACGGCCUCCACACGGUGGUGAAGGCGAACCACGCGCCCUACGGCAAGGACUUCGCCAACCACGAGCCCACCGGCCGCUUCUCCAACGGGCUCAUACCCACCGACUUCAUGGCCCAGGGCCUUAACGUGAAGGAACUACUUCCUCCGUACCUGGGCGUGGAGCACACCCGAGAGGACCUCCUCACCGGCGUCAGCUUCGCGUCCGGCGCCACCGGAUUCGACCCUCUCACCCCCGUCAUCGUGAACGUGAUCUCGCUGGAGCAGCAGCUGGCCUACUUCGACGAGUACCGCGGCAAGCUGGUGGACAUCGCCGGCGAGGAGGAGACGCGGCGGAUCAUCGACGGCGCGCUGUUCGUGGUGUGCGCGGGCACGGACGACAUCGCCAACACCUACUACACCACGCCGCUCCGGAGCGCCCACUACGACAUCCCGGCCUACGUGGACCUGCUCCUCGUCGGCGUCGAGUCCUUGCUCCGCAACGUGAGCGCGCGGGGCGCCAAGCGGAUCGGCUUCGUGGGGCUCCCGCCCAUCGGGUGCGUGCCGUCGCAGCGGACCAUGGGCGGCGGCCCGGACCGCGGCUGCGUGCCGGAGCGCAACGCCGCGGCGCGGCUCUACAACGCGAGGGCGCAGGAGCUGAUCCGCCGGCUGGGCGAGGAGGACCCGGCCGGGUUCCCCACCCUCGUGUUCAUCGACAUCUACACCGUGAUCCAGGACCUGGUGGACAACGGGGCGCGGUACGGGUUCAGCGAGACGACGAAGGGGUGCUGCGGCACCGGGACGAACGAGGUGGCCGUGCUGUGCGACGCCAGGUUCAUGCCGGUGUGCGACGACGUGUCGGAGCAUGUCUUCUUCGACAGCUACCACCCCACGCAGAGGGCCUACAAGGUCAUCGUCGACUACAUCUUCGACCACUACAUGCAGUUCCUCAACCUCUGA
Molecule: ribosomal RNA, 1092 nt
Filed under: Triticum aestivum (bread wheat)
Lineage: Eukaryota; Viridiplantae; Streptophyta; Magnoliopsida; Poales; Poaceae
Description: partial small subunit ribosomal RNA
Source: RNAcentral